RNAcentral lists this unclassified non-coding RNA (325 nucleotides) under Hevea brasiliensis (rubber tree). The record is from RNAcentral. Lineage: Eukaryota; Viridiplantae; Streptophyta; Magnoliopsida; Malpighiales; Euphorbiaceae.
AUUUAAACAAAAAAACAAAAGAACUGCAGAUUUUUCUGCAAAAUUUCAAUUCUGCCGCUAAAAAAAAAAAAACUGCAGAAUUUCAGAUCUGCUGCUGGAGUAAAAAAAAAUAAAAAGAGGCAGAUUUGGUGUGACACAACCAGGGUUCACUACACAUCCUAAAUUAUUGAAUUCUUAUCUAGGCUUUUGCUUCUUUACUAUUUCGUUUGCUUCACAACAAUAACCCUCCCAUGAAGAGUUCGAAUAUGAGCAGGAUGAGGAAGAUGAGAAUAAUGAUGAUCGAGCUUCGAUCAUAAAUGAAGGCAGAUUUUAUCAGAGGAGAGAA